Non-coding RNA from Rhinocladiella mackenziei CBS 650.93, 94 nucleotides. NCBI's taxonomy places the organism in Eukaryota, Fungi, Ascomycota, Eurotiomycetes, Chaetothyriales, Herpotrichiellaceae. The record is from the annotation of a RefSeq genome assembly.
GCCUCUGAUGGUGUAGUUGGUCAUCACGUUCGGCUGCAAUUGAGAAAUUGUUACCGAAAGGUGUAAGUUCAAUAUCACCAUCGUGUUAGAACCA